RNAcentral lists this unclassified non-coding RNA (308 nucleotides) under plant metagenome. RNAcentral's name for it is "partial contains 5.8S ribosomal RNA, internal transcribed spacer 2, and large subunit ribosomal RNA". The stretch from base 1 to 105 matches the Rfam family "5.8S ribosomal RNA", at positions 50 to 154 of the family's 154-position model. The record is from RNAcentral.
GAAAUGCGAUAAGUAAUGUGAAUUGCAGAAUUCAGUGAAUCAUCGAAUCUUUGAACGCACAUUGCGCCCGCCAGUAUUCUGGCGGGCAUGCCUGUUCGAGCGUCAUUUCAACCAUCAAGCCCCGGCGCUUGUGUUGGGGACCCGCGGCUGCCGCGGGCCCUUAAAGACAGUGGCGGUCCUCGCUGCAGCACCGAGCGUAGUAGCUAUACACCUCGCCCUGGGAGCUGCGCGUGCGACCACACCGUAAAACCCCCCACCUCUCACAAGGUUGACCUCGGAUCAGGUAGGAAUACCCGCUGAACUUAAGC